UUGAAAGGGAAACGAUUGAAGUCAGUCGUACCGACGAGAAAUCAGCUUAUCGUGUGUUAACUUGUGGGCGUGCGUGAGUUUCGGCCUCGCUGUUUGCAUGUUUGUGCGCUUUGGGUGUACUUUUUCGUAUGGUUGGCCAACAUCAGUUUCGAUCACUAUAAAAUGACUGGCGGAAUGUAGCUUCGAUUUCGGUUGAAGUGUUAUAGCCUCUGGUAGAUGUGGUGAUUGGGACUGAGGAUUGCAACGAAUAUCCUUUGGGCUAUCCGUCUGGCCUCUGAAAGUUGCUUGGGUGCUGAAAGCUUGCUUAUGGUUAUCUAAGUUAACGGUCAAUAGGUUAGGACGCGAUUACAUUCGUUAAGGAUGUUGACGUA
RNAcentral lists this ribosomal RNA (371 nucleotides) under uncultured Glomeromycotina. RNAcentral describes it as "eukaryotic LSU rRNA". Lineage: Eukaryota; Fungi; Glomeromycota. The record is from RNAcentral.